UUGAACGCUGGCGGCAUGCCUUACACAUGCAAGUCGAACGGUAGAGGGGCAACCCUUGAGAGUGGCGAACGGGUGAGUAAUAUAUCGGAACGUGCCCAGUCGUGGGGGAUAACGCAGCGAAAGCUGCGCUAAUACCGCAUACGAUCUAUGGAUGAAAGCGGGGGAUCGCAAGACCUCGCGCGAUUGGAGCGGCCGAUAUCAGAUUAGGUAGUUGGUGGGGUAAAAGCCCACCAAG
RNAcentral lists this ribosomal RNA (235 nucleotides) under uncultured bacterium. RNAcentral describes it as "partial 16S ribosomal RNA". It matches the Rfam family "Bacterial small subunit ribosomal RNA", at positions 30 to 272 of the family's 1533-position model. The record is from RNAcentral.